This 2159-nucleotide ribosomal RNA is filed under the name Streptococcus suis. RNAcentral's name for it is "partial 23S ribosomal RNA". It matches the Rfam family "Bacterial large subunit ribosomal RNA", at positions 1 to 2181 of the family's 2925-position model. Lineage: Bacteria; Bacillati; Bacillota; Bacilli; Lactobacillales; Streptococcaceae. The record is from RNAcentral.
GGUUAAGUUAAUAAGGGCGCACGGUGGAUGCCUUGGCACUAGAAGCCGAUGAAGGACGUGACUAACGACGAAAUGCCUUGGGGAGCUGUAAGUAAGCAAUGAUCCAGGGAUGUCCGAAUGGGGGAACCCGGCAGGUAAUGCCUGUCACUCACUACUGUUAAGGUAGUGAAGAGGAAGACGCAGUGAACUGAAACAUCUAAGUAGCUGCAGGAAGAGAAAGCAAAAGCGAUUGCCUUAGUAGCGGCGAGCGAAACGGCAGGAGGGCAAACCGAGGAGUUUACUCCUCGGGGUUGUAGGACUGCAAUGUGGACUUAAAGAGUAUAGAAGAACUACCUGGGAAGGUAGGCCAAAGAGAGUAAUAGCCUCGUAUUUGAAAUAUUCUUUAUACCUAGCAGUAUCCUGAGUACGGCGAGACACGCGAAAUCUCGUCGGAAUCCGGGAGGACCAUCUCCCAACCCUAAAUACUCUCUAGUGACCGAUAGUGAACCAGUACCGUGAGGGAAAGGUGAAAAGUACCCCGGAAGGGGAGUGAAAUAGAACCUGAAACCGUGUGCCUACAACAAGUUCGAGCCCGUUAAUGGGUGAGAGCGUGCCUUUUGUAGAAUGAACCGGCGAGUUACGAUAUGAUGCGAGGUUAAGUUGAAGAGACGGAGCCGUAGGGAAACCGAGUCUUAAUAGGGCGGAUUAGUAUUAUGUCGUAGACCCGAAACCAUGUGACCUACCCAUGAGCAGGUUGAAGGUGCGGUAAGACGCACUGGAGGACCGAACCAGGGCACGUUGAAAAGUGCUUGGAUGACUUGUGGGUAGCGGAGAAAUUCCAAACGAACUUGGAGAUAGCUGGUUCUCUCCGAAAUAGCUUUAGGGCUAGCGUCGACAUUUGAGAAUCUUGGAGGUAGAGCACUGUUUGGAUGAGGGGGCCAUCUCGGUUUACUGAUUUCAGAUAAACUCCGAAUGCCAAUGAUUUAUGGUCGGCAGUCAGACUGCGAGUGCUAAGAUCCGUAGUCGAAAGGGAAACAGCCCAGACCACCAGCUAAGGUCCCAAAAUAAUUGUUAAGUGGAAAAGGAUGUGGGGUUGCACAGACAACUAGGAUGUUAGCUUAGAAGCAGCUAUUCAUUCAAAGAGUGCGUAAUAGCUCACUAGUCGAGUGACCCUGCGCCGAAAAUGUACCGGGGCUAAAACAAUUUACCGAAGCUGUGGAUAACACUUAGGUGUUAUGGUAGGAGAGCGUUCUAUGUGUGAAGAAGGUAUACCGUGAGGAGUGCUGGAACGCAUAGAAGUGAGAAUGCCGGUAUGAGUAGCGAAAGAUGGGUGAGAAUCCCAUCCACCGUAAGACUAAGGUUUCCAGGGGAAGGCUCGUCCGCCCUGGGUUAGUCGGGACCUAAGGAGAGACCGAAGGGUGUAUCCGAUGGACAACAGGUUGAUAUUCCUGUACUAGAGUAUGAAGUGAUGGAGGGACGCAGUAGGCUAACUAAAGCGGGCGAUUGGAAGAGCCCGUCUAAGCAGUGAGGUGUGAUAUGAGUCAAAUGCUUGUAUCUGUAACAUUGAGCUGUGAUGGGGAGCGAAGUUAAGUAGCGAAGUUAGUGACGUCACACUGCCGAGAAAAGCUUCUAGCGAUGUAUCAUACUCUACCCGUACCGCAAACCGACACAGGUAGUCGAGGCGAGUAGCCUCAGGUGAGCGAGAGAACUCUCGUUAAGGAACUCGGCAAAAUGACCCCGUAACUUCGGGAGAAGGGGUGCUGACUUAAAGUCAGCCGCAGUGAAUAGGCCCAAGCAACUGUUUAUCAAAAACACAGCUCUCUGCUAAAUCGUAAGAUGAUGUAUAGGGGGUGACGCCUGCCCGGUGCUGGAAGGUUAAGAGGAGGGUUUAGCGCAAGCGAAGAUCUGAAUUGAAGCCCCAGUAAACGGCGGCCGUAACUAUAACGGUCCUAAGGUAGCGAAAUUCCUUGUCGGGUAAGUUCCGACCCGCACGAAAGGCGUAAUGAUUUGGGCACUGUCUCAACGAGAGACUCGGUGAAAUUUUAGUACCUGUGAAGAUGCAGGUUACCCGCGACAGGACGGAAAGACCCCAUGGAGCUUUACUGCAGUUUGAUAUUGAGUAUCUGUACCACAUGUACAGGAUAGGUAGGAGCCUAUGAAGUCGGGACGCCAGUUUCGAC